CCCGGCCCCAUGCACCCUCUGAAAGCCGUUCUCCCUGUGGCGGCCAGAAAUCUGCUUAUCUUUCGUUUCUUUGUUAGUCCUUUCAUUUAGUCACUGAUGUUUACUCGGCCGUGUGUGUGUGUGCGUGUGUGUGUGUGUGUGUGUGUGAGUGAGAGAGAGAGAGAGAUGGGGAGAGGUAGUCCUUGCUGCAGGCAGAAGGGGGGCAUCCAAGGUAGAGUCAGAGUCAGAGUCACUAUCCAGGUGCCUUCCCUGCACCUUGCUCUUUAAGGUGAGUGAGGACGCUGGGAGACGCCGAGGCUUAGACAGGGCUCCAUAGGCCAGAGGUGGUCAGCAACUCUGUCUCAAAGCCCACCCCCAAGCCCCUGCUCCCCUGAGCAACAUCUCUGCAGUUCUGCGAGCUUUAGCUCCUCAGGGAAGCGUCACCCUAGUUAAGUCCUGUAGGGAUGCCCUUCCUGAGAGUCCUUAGAGAAUUCUUUCUGUCUCUUCCACUAAUGGUAAGCUCAGGGGGCAUCUAGUGGGUGCCAAGCAUACAAGAGACACAGACUAAAUAUUGGCUGAAUGAACGAAUGGGUGAAUGAAGAUAGCCAUGACCCGGCAGGAAGAGGAGAGAGCAGUGGCUGGAUUGGGGCCCUGGCCAUGCCUGCAGGCCUUGCCAUCACUGGGCAGAAGGGCCUGUGGCUAAGCGGCCACCCACUCCCCCUCUGAGGAGCCCCGUUGGUCAGGGUGCUGUGCUGGGGAGCAGAUCUCUCUCGGGUUCUGGAGGGGGCACAGAGCUCUCCUUGGCAUCUGGCAGGUGCUAUCUGGUUAAGGGGGCACAGCACACACUGGCCUUGACUGUGGCCAUGUGAUACAGCAAGGACACUCGUGCCUGUGGGACCAGCCAGCAUCCAAUCAAGUAGGUCCCAUGGCCCGGUUGUGCAAAUAACCUGCAAGUGUUGCUUCCUCCGGCUGGGCCCCAGGCUACCUCCCUCCUCACUCUCACACCUUGCGCCCAGGGCUCGCUUACCAUUGAUGGACUGAUGCACUCCAUGCCUUGUCUACAGCCCGGGGCCCUCCUCCAAGUUCAGUAGCCAGUUCGGCACUUCCUGUCCCCUGUGUGCAAAUCCAAGUGUGUGACUUUUCUUCCCACACCUGUUGGCCUGCCAGUGAAAUGUGCUUCCCCCCACUGUCACCCUUAACCUCCCUUCUCUGCCCCCCCCACCCCGAUCCCAGCCCCUCCCACCACCACCACCUUAGUUUAAGCUAGCUGGCUUCAUCUUUGGCCUAGCGUGGACUCUGAUAACACCAUGGUGGACUGCUCUUCCUGGGGGAGGAGUCUAUUUCUCUGCCCCCCUGGCAGCGGAUCUGGCCAUAUGACUUGCCUGGCCCAAUGGAAUGUGAACAGAAGGGACAAGAGUGACUCCAGGCAGAAGAUUCAAGAGCCAGCACCUGGUUCUCUGAGAUGGUGGAAUGUGCCGAGAUGGAUCCAAACGAGCAAACACAGGCGAUGCCCCAGUAGCUAGACUCGGUGAGAUGUGGCAGAAGGGGAAGUGGACUCCAAGCAGGAGAAGGACUCAAUGUACCAUUACUGGUUCUGAAGAUAAGGGGGCCAGGAGCCUCAGCGGUACGACCACAAGGAACUGAAUUCUGCUAACGACCUGAAUGAACUUGGAAGAGGGUUCUUCCGUAGUUGACUUAGAGACAUCUUGACUUCAGCCAUACAAGACCCUAAGCAGAAGACCCGGUCACUUGAUGAUGGACUUCUGACUCAAAAAAACUGUGAGAUAAUAAAUCUGUGUUGUUUUAA
This is a long non-coding RNA of Leptonychotes weddellii (Weddell seal), 1786 nucleotides long. RefSeq lists it as uncharacterized. The record is from RefSeq and is a predicted model, not a curated record. Lineage: Eukaryota; Metazoa; Chordata; Mammalia; Carnivora; Phocidae.